UCUCUCACGCGCCCGCAAACACCCCACGCCUGGACCCCCUCUCCCUCCUCUCCUUUCUUUUUUUCUUGACCAACACGUCCACAGGUGGAUCUUCUUCCUCCUUUCCUCCUUCCUCCUUUGUAACCAGAUCUGAAGAACCAGGCUGAGAUUUGCGUAUCCAUGGCGUGUUGACCAAGAAGAUCAAGGUAACCACCGCCCUCCAAAAGCAGCCCCCUCUCUCCCUCCUCUGUUUGUGAUUUGGCCAGGAAGAUCAAGAGGUUUUCCUGAUCGUGAUUUGCCUAAAAAAAUCAAGUAACUUCCCCCCUCUCAUAGGAUUUUGUAGAUGUGUGCAAAAAACUAAGCAACUAAAGCUCCAAUUUUAGGCAACUCUAUUGUGUUGACAGAGCAACUGCAAAAAAAAGCUAGGAACAAAAGCUUUGUCCCUGCUUGAUCAUGAAGCCCACCCUCUCCCUACUUGAAAGAUCAAAAGAGGGUUUGUCUGUUCCUGGUUUGCAUAAAAAAAUAAUGAAACAAUAUUGAAGAAAAAAGCACAGUGCUAAAACUGAGAAACUAUGGGCAUUAUGUAAGAAAUGAGAAAAAAAUCCAAGCAACUUUCUCCCUCUCAUAGGGUUUAUAGAUGUUUGUGAAGAACUGAGCAACUGAUCCUCCAAUUUUAGGCAAUUCUAUUGUGUUUAUUGAGAAACUAAAAAGAAGGUAGGAACAAAAAAUCUUUCUUCCUACUUGAGAGAUCAAGAGGGUUUGUCUGUUCCUGAUUUGCAAAACUGAGCAAGUAUGUGCAUUAUGUAAGAAAGGAGAAAAAUAUUCCAAGCAACUUCCCCCUCUCAUGGGGUUUAUAGAUGUUUUCAAAAAACUGACCAACUAGCAUUCCAAUUUUAGGCAAACCUAUUUUGUUCAUUCAUCAACUGCAAAAAGAGAAAAGGUUGGAACAAAAAGCUUUGCAUUAGGAUGUUUGCAUUCAUCAACUAGUUGUGACUGCAUACAGUUCUCAAUGAUCCAGGAACAAUCCAAAGCACAAAAACAGAAAAAGUAAAGCAUGCACACAAAAGCAUUGAAAACUAGUUCAGUACAUAUGCAUCCUCUCGUAAAAAAUUAUAAAAUUAACAGCGUUGUAGAGAAGAUCCGCCUAAUCCAGUCAAUCUACACUACUAUGAAAAGGUCUUCUACCCGCGCUAAGAUCUGCCUAACAUAUGUGAAUUUUUCCACUGCAAUAACAGUUGUCACCUCCUGUUGAAGAGCAAGAAAGAAACACACAUGUCAAAAUUUAUUCACAUAUGGUGUGCUGGUGAUAACACAAAAAGGUAUGACAAAAAUGAACUUGUGUGAAAACAACACAAAAGUUGCCUCUGUUUAUCUUUCUAGUUGCCUAAAAAAGUGUAUACGGUUGCCCUAAUUUAAUCUAGUACUACUUUUACCUCAAUUUCUCCUCCCAACAAGAUAUGUUAAUAUUGGCUAUGUUAUUGUCAACUAAAAAAAUUGUUUCUGCAGGUGGGAUGAAAAGAAGAGAGAGGGACAAGAAGGAAAAAAAGAUGAUUGAUCUCAAUGAAGCAUCGAUUGACGUAGAGUCUGUCAACAUUUCAGUUGAGUUGGGUGCGCCCUUCUUAAAGACAGCCUAUGAUCAACAUGAUAUUCAUUGGGAGGAGGGUGUUGGUAAGUCCCUAGACACCGACAUUGGCUCUAAUACUGCUCAUGUUACGACCACCCAUAUCGCUGCUCCCAACGAUGUAGUUUGGUCCUGCUAAUGCUACAAUUGAUGAUGCACCUGACUUGGAAGAUGAAGAAGCGGGGUCGCAGCCACAAGUACCUUAUGUUGGCAUGCGCUUUGACAUGCUAGUGGGGGCAAGAGAACAUUAUAAUCGCUAUGCUCUAGGGCUGGGUUUUUCAAUCAAGUCGAAUACAUCCCACAGGUCGGCAUACACAUGGGUGCUGGACAGGAAACAAUUUUGUUGUAACAAGUUUCGUAAGCCUAUGGAGAGGGUUGGAGUAUCAGAUGUUGUCUCAUCCAGCAAAAAAGUACACGCCCGAGCUCCCCUGAACAAGAUAUUGAAGAGGAUGGUGAUGAACCCACUUAUAAGAAGAAGCGAAAAAGAGAGACUAUAAAGAAGACCAAAUGCCCUGCUAAGAUGGUGGUCAAGCUAAUAGAUGGCAGAUGGGAGGUUAUUAACUUUGUUGCAGAUCAUGCCCAUCCAUUGGUCGAUAAGACUUCACUAUCCAAAUAUCUCUGUUCCCACCAAGGCACCCCCCUGAAGAGAAAAAAAUUCUGACUCACCUACACGACAACAACUUGAUAGUAGGUACAUCUAACAACACCCACCCCCCCCCCCACAUCUAUAAAGAAGUAAAAAAGAAAACCUGACAAAUCUGAUUUUAUCGGAAGAAACUCUGGCAACUCAAAUUAGAAGAUGAGGCAACUCUGUUUUGACUUUGAGCAACUCUGAUAAGAAACAUGGUGCCAAACAUAUAAAAAAUCCUAGUAACUUCUCGCAUUAUGGAUUCAUGUACAUAAAAAAUCCUAGUAAUAAAACUACUUAUGUAUAUGAAUUGCCUCUAUUUUAUGCAUAAGUUGCUCCUUACAUCAUGUUUAGUUGCCUAAAUAACACAAGGGUUUGUUAUGUUUUUGACAGGAAGAAUGAUGAUGGUGAUGUCAUCAUACUAUCACUGGUACAACGAUGUGCUAUACAAACGGUUUUUAACCCCUUUCCAUGACGGCAUUUGGAACCAUAGCCAAGUGGGUGUGGGCGAUAGGGGGUCCUUCCCACACGACCCAUAAACCGUCGGGGAUAGGCCCUCCUGGCACACAGGCUGGGGAAAAAUGAGCUCGUGUGCGAUCGGGUGAGGCAUCAAAACCCAAUCGUUUUCAUUCGUAUGUACAUCCCACACAGACAGUCCCAAAAAAACGUUUCCGUUUGUUAUGUACAUUCCACACAGUCAAUCCAAGGAAUACGUUUCCGUUGUUAUGUACAUCUCUGAUGUCUGCUAGAACUACGUUGGUAUUUCUCCAAAGAGGAAGGGAUGAUGCAGUAUAGUGAAGGUAGGUAUUUCCCUCAGUAAUGAGACCAAGGUUAUCGAACCAGUAG
Molecule: long non-coding RNA, 3074 nt
Filed under: Triticum aestivum (bread wheat)
Lineage: Eukaryota; Viridiplantae; Streptophyta; Magnoliopsida; Poales; Poaceae
Description: long non-coding RNA (TAES_LNC004339)
Source: RNAcentral